GCCCUAUCAAUUUGGAAAGGUGUGAAAUGUUCAGAACUGCUUUAGGCUAUUAUGUUUGCAGAGUGUGUAUAAGAAUAGUUGGAGAGAUGGAUUCAAGAAAGCAUUAAAAGCAUGUGUUAUACAUGUCUACUGUAACAUGCGGUGUCCAUGAGAGUAUUGCAGAGCUCCACAGUACUCAAUGUGUAUAAGUGUAAUGUGGACACAGUAAUGUCCAG
This is a non-coding RNA of Pelobates cultripes (western spadefoot toad), 215 nucleotides long. The record is from the annotation of a GenBank genome assembly. NCBI's taxonomy places the organism in Eukaryota, Metazoa, Chordata, Amphibia, Anura, Pelobatidae.